Small nuclear RNA from Suncus etruscus (white-toothed pygmy shrew), 104 nucleotides. Lineage: Eukaryota; Metazoa; Chordata; Mammalia; Eulipotyphla; Soricidae. The record is from RefSeq and is a predicted model, not a curated record.
AUGCUUGCUUCAGCAGCAUAUAUACUAAAAUUGGAACAAUACAGAGAUUAGCAUGGCUCCUACACAAGGAUGAAAUGCAAAUUCAUGAAAUGUUCUAUAUAUUU